UGAUGGACAGACCCAAACAUAGCCGCGCAGCAUCGUGAAGGGCUGGGGCCUUCACGCGUCUGUGGCUGUGGAAGGGCCUGGUUUCCUCAGGAGGCAUGUCGGGCCCCAGGCCUGUGGUGCUGAGCGGGCCUUCGGGAGCUGGGAAGAGCACCCUGCUGAAGAGGCUGUUCCAGGAGCACAGCGGCAUCUUUGGCUUCAGCGUGUCCCGUGAGUCCAGGGCUCUUGUGGAGGGAUACCACAAGGAACCCGAGGCCCGGCGAGGAGAACGGCAAA
RNAcentral lists this small RNA (273 nucleotides) under Pongo abelii (Sumatran orangutan). RNAcentral's name for it is "processed transcript". Lineage: Eukaryota; Metazoa; Chordata; Mammalia; Primates; Hominidae. The record is from RNAcentral.